UUCUGAACAUUUGCCACUUUGGCCCCUUCUGGAGAUAUCGUACGGCAUGAGAAUCUCCUGGGAAUGGCAUGGCUAUCCAAAUCCACAUCCGUGGGACGACAUGUUUAUUCUUUGUGACCCCCACGAUGUGACCACAAGCAAAGAGACAAAGGGAGUAGCUCAGCUGUCCAAACACGAGAAAUUAUUGCUUGCGUCAGAUCCACCGGCUCAGCCCC
This 215-nucleotide long non-coding RNA is filed under the name Elaeis guineensis (African oil palm). RNAcentral's name for it is "long non-coding RNA (EGUI_LNC002280)". The record is from RNAcentral. Lineage: Eukaryota; Viridiplantae; Streptophyta; Magnoliopsida; Arecales; Arecaceae.